AUAUUUUGGCAUACAAGUUAUACUUUGUCGAGAUCAUGGACUCAGUUAUCAAGGACAAGACUACUGCACGUACAACCGCUUGCAUCAGGGACCAGUCAAUGGUCCUCUUCACAGUCAAGACACAGCAGUGGUCCGACUUUGCCAGUAGCUUUCAGGCAGUAUCGAAGAGACGUACCUCGACAUAAAUUCUCUACCACAACACACGUCUGCAGCGAUUCUAUUGGGAAGAUUCAUUCAACUCAUUACCACUUGGUUUACACAUGCAAGGUGUGCUCAACCAGGUCAACGAAGAGGAUAUCCAAGGUAGCCUAUCAUAAAGGUGUUGUCCUAGUGACCUGCCCAGGAUGUGAAAAACACCACAUUAUUGCUGACAACUUGGGUUGGUUCUCUGAUCUGAAGGGAAAGAGGAACAUUGAGGAAAUCCUUGCAGCGAGAGGA
Long non-coding RNA from Oncorhynchus keta (chum salmon), 438 nucleotides. RefSeq lists it as uncharacterized. The record is from RefSeq and is a predicted model, not a curated record. NCBI's taxonomy places the organism in Eukaryota, Metazoa, Chordata, Actinopteri, Salmoniformes, Salmonidae. The transcript is spliced from 3 exons.